UCGUCGUUACAGUGAAGGGCUAUCAACAUUUGAAACAAUAACAAACAGUCAACAGCAAAUGGAAUGUAAAUGUCUUCUGAGGAUGCAGAAGAUCUUUUACAUGAUUCAGUUAUUGAAUUAUUUGAUUUAUCUGAUUAUUCUUCAACUUUGCCAAACGAUGCUAAAGAAAGAUAUGUUGCUAAGCUCAAUGAAGUACAUUGUGACUGUCCUUACAUCAUAGAAAAUGAGUAUUAUUUGUAAGUUUUAAGGCCUUGAACUAAAAAAACAGCCCAUCUCCAAAAAUUAUCUCAUAAGACUUACAGCUCUUAUAAUUAUUCAUAUCGUUAGCUGUAUAAAACUGUUUUCUGUAGACUAGAUAGUUCCAAACAUCUCCAAAUUCAACUGAUGGUAAUAUUGUUUCUAGCUCUUGUGUACUGGAAGUCCAAUACUCAGUGUGUUGGAUUUGGGGCCAUCAAAUCACUCAAAUCCAAAUCAAAUCCGAAAAAUUUGAGGAUUUGGAUUGGAUUUCCCAAUGUGGGAAAAGGCAGUGAUUUGAUUUGGAUUUGACGCAAAAUGUCAUAAAAAUCAAAUCAAUUUCAAAUACAAAUCCAAAUCAUUAAGAGUAACUUAUCCAAUGGCCCACCAGAGGUCUGACUUCGCUGACGCUUUUCGUUCGGCAGUUGUUUCCCCGUACUCCUGGCCUAAUUUGAGCUCAUAUUCCUUCACAUGUUGAGUAUCUGAAUUCUGUGUUUUUAUUUUAAUGUAACUCUGAGUGAAUUUUCUGCAGGUAUAAAUGUUUAAUUAAUAUUUUUACUUUCUGUUCGGUUUUAUACAUGUUCCCAUUUUGGCAUUUUCCUUUUUGGUUUGGUCUUUUCAAUAGACCACUAUUCCACUAAGUUAACGUGACUGUAGGACCUCGUGAUUGUGCCAACUUUGCAAUCUACAUCUAUCAAUUACAUCAAAGAUUCAAAGACAAUUAAUAAAGGUAUCAGUGUAUAA
Molecule: long non-coding RNA, 978 nt
Organism: Daphnia magna
Lineage: Eukaryota; Metazoa; Arthropoda; Branchiopoda; Diplostraca; Daphniidae
Exons: 2
Source: RefSeq, a predicted model, not a curated record